Molecule: ribosomal RNA, 458 nt
Filed under: uncultured bacterium
Lineage: Bacteria
Description: bacterial SSU rRNA
Rfam family: Bacterial small subunit ribosomal RNA
Source: RNAcentral
AACGAACGCUGGCGGCAUGCCUAACACAUGCAAGUCGAACGUGAUCCUAGCUUGCUAGGUGAGAGUGGCGGACGGGUGAGUAACACGUGGGAAUCUGCCUUUUGGUUCGGGAUAACCGCGGGAAACUGCGGCUAAUACCGAAUGCCCUCGAGAGAGGAAAGAUUUAUCGCCAGAAGAGGAGCCCGCGUCCGAUUAGGUAGUUGGUGGGGUAAAGGCCUACCAAGCCGACGAUCGGUAGCUGGUCUGAGAGGAUGAUCAGCCACACUGGGACUGAGAUACGGCCCAGACUCCUACGGGAGGCAGCAGUGGGGAAUAUUGGACAAUGGGGGCAACCCUGAUCCAGCAAUGCCGCGUGAGUGAUGAAGGCCUUAGGGUUGUAAAGCUCUUUCACCCACGACGAUGAUGACGGUAGUGGGAGAAGAAGCCCCGGCUAACUUCGUGCCAGCAGCCGCGGUAAU